Molecule: long non-coding RNA, 170 nt
Organism: Cyprinus carpio (common carp)
Lineage: Eukaryota; Metazoa; Chordata; Actinopteri; Cypriniformes; Cyprinidae
Gene: enpp1
Exons: 3
Source: RefSeq, a predicted model, not a curated record
CCUUCCCAAAUCAUUACACCAUAGUGACGGGUCUGUAUCCAGAAUCACAUGGAAUUGUGGACAAUAAGAUGUAUGAUGUCACUCGCAAUGCCUCUUUCAGUUUGAAAGCUGAUGAGAAAUUCAACCCUGCAUGGUACCAGGGUGAACCAGUUUGGCUCACAGCCAUGAAA